GACCGCUCCGGCUGUCUAGUGGUAAGAGCGUCCGCCUCGGAUGCGAGAGGUCGCGGGUUCGAACCCCGGCCGAGUCA
Non-coding RNA from Potamilus streckersoni, 77 nucleotides. Lineage: Eukaryota; Metazoa; Mollusca; Bivalvia; Unionida; Unionidae. The record is from the annotation of a GenBank genome assembly.